This 537-nucleotide long non-coding RNA is filed under the name Gossypium barbadense (sea-island cotton). Its description in RNAcentral is "long non-coding RNA (GBAR_LNC004898)". The record is from RNAcentral. Lineage: Eukaryota; Viridiplantae; Streptophyta; Magnoliopsida; Malvales; Malvaceae.
GAGGAAUGACAACCUAAGCAUUAAAAAUGGAUCAUUCUCAUGACAUUCUACAAAUAUAAUACAUACACAUCUAGUUAGGAGCAUUUGAUUCAUUCUGAUCAUGUCAUCCUAAACACUAGGCGUAAAUAGAUCCUAUCUUCCUAUAUUGGUAGAAAGUGGACCGAAGAUGCCGAUCUUGUCUUCCCAUAUUGGUGGCAAAGUAGAUCGCAGAAAACAGAUCUUGUCUUCAUGUAUUGGCGUGAAGUAGAUCGAAUGUAGCAGAUCCUAUCUUCCUAUAUUGAUAGGAAGUGGAUCCAAGAUGCAGAUCUUGUCUUCCCAUAUUGGUGGCGAAGUAGAUCGCAGAAAGCAGAUCUUAUCUUCAUGUAUUGGCGUGAAGUAUAUCGAAGGUAUCAGAUCCUAUCUUCCUAUAUUGGUAGGAAGUAGAUCGAAGAUGCAGAUCUUGUCUUCCCAUAUUGGUGGCGAAGUAGGUCAAAGAAAGCAGAUCUUGUCUUCCCAUAUUGGUGGCGAAGCAGAUCGAAGAAAGCAGAUCUUGUCUUC